AGUCACUGACAUUAGAUACCCCUGUAGUCCAGGGUGUAAACGCUGCAGACUUGGUGUUUGGAGGCCCUUUGGGGCAUUCAGUGCCGGAGAGAAGUUGUUAAGUCUGCUACUUGGGGAGUACGUCCGCAAGGAUGAACUUAAAGGAAUUGGCGGGGGAGCACCGCAACGGGAGGAGCGUGCGGUUUAAUUGGAUUCAACACCGUAAAACUCACCAGGGAAGACUGUUACAUGAAGGCCGAGAUGAAGACUCUGCUAGAUUUUCAG
Molecule: ribosomal RNA, 264 nt
Filed under: uncultured archaeon
Lineage: Archaea
Description: partial 16S ribosomal RNA
Rfam family: Archaeal small subunit ribosomal RNA
Source: RNAcentral